UGGGGAAUUUUGGACAAUGGGCGCAAGCCUGAUCCAGCCAUGCCGCGUGCGGGAAGAAGGUCUUCGGGUUGUAAACCGCUUUUGUCAGGGAAGAAAUCUUCUGAGUUAAUACCUCGGGAGGAUGACGGUACCUGAAGAAUAAGCACCGGCUAACUACGUGCCAGCAGCCGCGGUAAUACGUAGGGUGCAAGCGUUAAUCGGAAUUACUGGGCGUAAAGCGUGCGCAGGCGGUUUUGUAAGACAGAGGUGAAAUCCCCGGGCUCAACCUGGGAACUGCCUUUGUGACUGCAAGGCUUGAGUGCGGCAGAGGGGGAUGGAAUUCCGCGUGUAGCAGUGAAAUGCGUAGAUAUGCGGAGGAACACCGAUGGCGAAGGCAAUCCCCUGGGCCUGCACUGACGCUCAUGCACGAAAGCGUGGGGAGCAAACAGGAUUAGAUAGCCCUGGUAGUCCACGCCCUAAACGAUGUCAACUGGUUGUUGGGAAGGUUCCUUCUCAGUAACGUAGCUAACGCGUGAAGUUGACCGCCUGGGGAGUACGGCCGC
Molecule: ribosomal RNA, 542 nt
Filed under: uncultured bacterium
Lineage: Bacteria
Description: partial 16S ribosomal RNA
Rfam family: Bacterial small subunit ribosomal RNA
Source: RNAcentral